UGAAUAUUAACAGAAGGAGCCGGAUGCCACUGAUCAAAGGCCUGGUCCAAAGAGUUUAGCAUUUUAUAUUCUCACUCAUGACCAAAACUGAUAUGAAUUCUCUUUCAAAUGGGUGAAUUUCACAGUAAAAGGCAUAAAUAUGAAAUCAGAUAAUUGUAAUACAUAAGUGACAUAAGCAAUAUGCAAAAGGACAUGUUCAUUUUUUUUAAAGUUCUACAUUUCAAUCUACUACUGAAUCAUCCCAUUGAGGAUCCAUGAUGCCUGUAAAAAAGUCCAAACACUUUAAAUAGCUCCUUGUUGAAUAAUGAUAUUCCUCUUGUAAAUCAUUGACCCUCAGUGGAAGCGUUGCUGUGUUUCUGCUGCUCCUCCCACCACUCAACAGCAGAGGGAGGACAUGUGUUUGGCUGCAGCUCCCAACCUUAAAUUAACCUGCUCAGAGUCCAGAGAGGAGCUGCAGCACAACACGAGUCAUGGAAAUGAUCAUCAAAUACUCAUCCUGCUGAAAACAAUCGUUCCUCCCGUGUCUCUGUGAGAUGGGAUGUACUGAGUCCAGAUUCUGGCCUUGGUCCUGCUCACACAAACAGAAGGACGACGUCAUCGACAAACCGAGAAGAGAAGAAACCAAAUCUUUUCUGGAGGACGUGAAGGAGACUGACGGUGCCGUCCGUCCAGAGGAGACGGAGGCUGACGCUCGCUCUCUGACUCUUCUCCCAGUCAGUGAACCCGUACUGGAGUUGGCUCAGAAGAUGUCACAGGAUAUCGUGGCUCAGGCUCUGCAGCUCUUCUGGGAGGUGGAGAUUCAAUACAACAACCUGCCUUUCAUCGACAAUGACUGUGAUUAUGUUGUAUGAGCUGGAGAAGAGAAGUUUGUGACUGAACCAGGAC
This is a long non-coding RNA of Hippoglossus stenolepis (Pacific halibut), 885 nucleotides long. RefSeq lists it as uncharacterized. The transcript is spliced from 2 exons. NCBI's taxonomy places the organism in Eukaryota, Metazoa, Chordata, Actinopteri, Pleuronectiformes, Pleuronectidae. The record is from RefSeq and is a predicted model, not a curated record.